Molecule: long non-coding RNA, 1389 nt
Filed under: Ananas comosus (pineapple)
Lineage: Eukaryota; Viridiplantae; Streptophyta; Magnoliopsida; Poales; Bromeliaceae
Description: long non-coding RNA (ACOM_LNC043332)
Source: RNAcentral
GGACAACCCGGAGGGUAGCGCGAAGAUUCAUAGGAGGUUAAGAGAGGUUAAGUCCGUGGAGUCGGUAAUCACCUUGUAAUCUUUUCUCUUAGUGAAUUAUUUUUUCGCGUGUUGGUCCCGUGGGUUUUUCUCCAAGUUGGAGUUUUCCCACGUAAAUCUCGGUGUGCUUUUUAUUUUCCGCAUUUAUUUUUAUUGCAUCGAGAUUUGUGGUUUUUGGUUGUUACACCUAUUCACCCCCCUCUAGGUGAUAGAUACAAUCUAGAUAGAUCCUUGGGCUCCUCAAAACUUUCAAUACUUACCUCUGAAUUCCUUGCUUCACUAGAUUCUUCCCUGCUCCUAAGCCUUCUCAUCACCAACAUCAUCAACUUUAUCAAUUUCUCCAUCAAACCCCACCUUGUACGGUUUGAGAGAGAAAAGAAAGAGAUAAGAGGAAGGAGAGGAGAGGGAGUGGAUACGUAUGGAAGCUGCUGGGGUGCAGGGUUGCAGAUAAGAUCAGGAAAAAUUGCAACUACACCCCUCCACAUGGCUGACAUUACAUUUACUAUAAUACGGGUCCCAAUUCAGAAUCUGAAACCUAUCGCCGGAGCCUUCGUUUACGCUCAAAUUUGGCAGUCAGGCUCGAUUUAACCUACUGAGUAAAAAUAUAUCUUAACUUUUUAGUUUGGACCAUGUUUGGUCACCGAAAGCUCUACCGAACUGUAAUUUUUAACAGAUAGCAGUCGGAUUUUAUUUUCUAUCUUCCGGGUGUCAGAAUGACAUGAAACUUUAAAUCUAGCCUCAUAAAAAUAAUUAUGACAUAUUCUCCAAUUUUCAUAAUUUUCUGACACUGUGCAUUUUCUGCUAAAAUAUCAGCCCCGUUUCUCACAGAAAAUUCUAAAUAUUCUGUUUUCGUUCCAAUUUCAGCACAAGUCAUUUCGGACUUAUAUUUUACUUCUCUAAAUCCAAUAAAAAUAGUAUUUUACACUAUUUUUAUUUACAUCUAUUUUUAUAUUAAAAAUCCGGUAUAUUACAACUUCCCGUACGCGAAAAGUCCCUAGGCCGCAGGGAGGGCUCUCGGUGACCGGUCUUCCCGACCAGGGACCGGUCCCUCUGGGCGAAAACAGCCCAGUGACAGCUGCUUGAGAGAUGAAAAGUUGAGGGGUUUAAAUGCAAAAUGGCCUUUAUUAGAGAGGGCUGAGCCCCCUCUCUCCCUCACACUCUCAUAACCCCUCUCCAUCUCUCUCUCAUUGCUCUCUUGCUCUCUCUCUCUAGAAAGGAAAGGAGAAGAAGAAGAACAAGAAGGAGAGGAAGGAAAAGAAGAAGAAGAUAAGGAAGGAGAAGAAUAAGGAGAUCAAGAGGAAGGCUUUGGGCACCUUCAUCUCCCUCUCCUCUUCUCUUUGGUGUAGCACA